GAAGUUUAUUCACUUGACUGUGUUCUUCUAUUUCUUUUCUUAUUCAAAUAAGCAAACAGCAGGACUAUCUUAGUGGUGUGGGGUCAAAUAUUCUUUAAAUAAAGGGAUUCACCAAACAUCUGGCUGAUUACUGGCAAUUUGUACACAGCAGUAAUGACAGUGGACAAGUGAAGAGAGUGGAGGGGACGGCAUCAGAAAGGACCUUGAGCUGCAACUGUCUUGGAUCACCCAAAGCACAACUACACUAUGUGUCCAAGCACUGAACAAGGCUUUUCACCUUACAUAAUAAAUGUAUUUAAUUUAAGGCAGGGUUUUAGGGCAGGGAUUGGGGUUGCAUAGAUAAGUGAGGAGAGUUUGGGCAAGGCGGUGUAGAUCUUUUAGAUCUUCUCUCCAGAUGAGUUUUAUAGCUUUAUUGCAGGGUGCUUGAUCCCAGUUCUUGUCUUAGCAGGAAAAUCAAGUCUUAUUUUAUCAACUGGAAAUAUCCAGAAUUAGAUAAAUAAAAUGGAAACGGAGCUAGUGAAACACACACACACACACACCAAUGACACUAAUAAUUCAUAGGUUCUAUUUAUUGAUAUUCUGAAAAGAAUAACGAGAUGCAAACCUGUAAAUAUUCAAUCAACUUUUCUUUUUUUCUUUUUUUUUUUUUUUGAGGCGCAUUAACCAUGACAAUAAUUUAGCAGUCGCAGGGAUACACAGACCAGAACACUACCACCCAGUAUCAAUAAUAGGGCUGGGCGAUAUAUCGCAUGCG
This is a long non-coding RNA of Megalobrama amblycephala (Wuchang bream), 754 nucleotides long. RefSeq lists it as uncharacterized. The transcript has 3 exons. The record is from RefSeq and is a predicted model, not a curated record. NCBI's taxonomy places the organism in Eukaryota, Metazoa, Chordata, Actinopteri, Cypriniformes, Xenocyprididae.